Molecule: non-coding RNA, 137 nt
Organism: Hordeum vulgare subsp. vulgare (domesticated barley)
Lineage: Eukaryota; Viridiplantae; Streptophyta; Magnoliopsida; Poales; Poaceae
Source: Rfam
CUAAUACUCCCUCCGUCCCAAAAUUCUUGUCUUAAAAUUUGUCUAGAUAUGAAUGUAUCUAGUCACGUUUUAGUAUUUAUAUACAUCCAUUUGUAAACAAAUGUAAGACAAGAAUUUUGGGACGGAGGGAGUACUUG